RNAcentral lists this non-coding RNA (94 nucleotides) under human gut metagenome. RNAcentral describes it as "Glycine riboswitch". It matches the Rfam family "Glycine riboswitch aptamer", at positions 11 to 84 of the family's 94-position model. From Rfam's summary of the family: This family represents the bacterial glycine riboswitch. Glycine riboswitches usually consist of two metabolite-binding aptamers domains with similar structures in tandem. The aptamers cooperatively bind glycine to regulate the expression of downstream genes. The record is from RNAcentral.
CGGCUGUCGGGAGAGUGCAUGAAAUGCCGCCGAAGGAAUAAAUAUGUAGCAAUGCCUAUCUGCUGCAUAUGAAGAUCUCAGGCAAAAGGACCGG